CCACAGCUAUUGCCUUUAGCUGUGUGCAUGGAUUUACAUACUCGUCAUGGAGCUAUUCUCGCCUGUGCUGAGAUCACCUAUGCCCUGUACAAACUAGCAGCUGCGAAAAAUAGGCCAGUUACAGAUUAUUUGGAUCAAAAGUCAUUGGAGGGACUUAAACAGAUACACCAGCAGCUUUAUGAUCGCCAGCUGUACAG
This is a long non-coding RNA of Vombatus ursinus (common wombat), 197 nucleotides long. RefSeq lists it as uncharacterized. The record is from RefSeq and is a predicted model, not a curated record. The transcript is spliced from 3 exons. NCBI's taxonomy places the organism in Eukaryota, Metazoa, Chordata, Mammalia, Diprotodontia, Vombatidae.